Molecule: RNA transcript, 2281 nt
Organism: Elaeis guineensis (African oil palm)
Lineage: Eukaryota; Viridiplantae; Streptophyta; Magnoliopsida; Arecales; Arecaceae
Source: RefSeq, a predicted model, not a curated record
GCCUCUCCACGCUAAUACUCCGUUGAUUCCAACCGUUAUCCAAAAACUACCUCCAGGGCUGAGACAAGUAGAUGGCCUGGGAAUGGCCCUCCUAAUGACACGAUGGUGGGUAACCGCAAGGGAAUGCGAGCCACCACCAGAGAUGGAGGAAUUUUUUGCGUAAACAUCGUCACCUCACGGGGGAGUUAGGGCUGUUUUCUUGGCAGAACUCCCCGAAGAUUUCGGGAUCGCAAUGCUGCUCCAACUCCAACCGGCCGCGACGGUCCAUGGCCGUCCUUCUCGUGCAUUCUCCACUCCUCAUGGGCCGAAGACGAGGAGAGGAGGGAUGCCAUGCCGGAAGCCAUCCACUACUCCUAUCCUGUGUCCCCGAGCCGCAAUUCCUUCAAGAACUCAAAGGAUAAUGGAAAAGAUUUCUUCGAAUGAUGAAGUAGGUGGAGCGGGGGGAGCUGGCUCAUACAAUGCUUUGAAGAGAUUGGAUCAAUUAUGGUCUAGUCUUUGUGCUUCUCCACUUGACACAGGAAAAGUUCCUGAAGUCGUAUCUCGAACUUUCAGUUCAUCCAGACAAUUUGAUGAGGAGAACCAACUUAGCUAUGGGUUUGAUGUAUUAGUGUGUGGUGGCACUUUGGGUAUUUUUGUUGCCACAGCACUAAUUUCCAAAGGAUUGCGAGUUGGGAUUGUUGAAAGGAACCUGCUUAAGGGGAGAGAACAAGAGUGGAACAUCUCAAGGAAAGAACUUGUGGAACUUGUUCAAGUCGGUAUUCUGUCAGAAGAAGAAAUUGAGGAGAUUAUUGCAAUUACAUUCAAUCCUAAUAGAUGUGGAUUUGAGAAGAUGGGUGACAUUUGGGUGAACGAUAUUCUUAAUCUUGGAGUUUCGCCAGCUAAGCUUUUGGAGAUUAUGAAGAAACGUUUUGUUUCCUUAGGUGGAAUAGUUUUUGAGGGCAAAUGUUUGUCUAGUAUACGCAUUUAUAAUGAUGCAGCAUUUCUGCAAUUCACUGAUGGUGAUGUUUUGUCAUCACGUCUGGUUGUUGAUUCAAUGGGUAAUUUCUCUCCAGUGGUGAAGCAGAUAAGAUCUGGCAGAAAGCCAGAUGGGGUCUGCCUUGUUGUUGGCACUUGCUCUCGUGGUUUCAAUGAGAACACAUCAAGUGAUAUUAUUUUCAGUAAUUCAUCUGUGAAGAAGGUUCGAGAUUCGGAAGUACAAUAUUUUUGGGAGGCUUUUCCUGCUGGUUCUGGUCCUACAGAUCGGACAACUUACUUGUUCACUUAUACCGAUGCACAUCCGGGGGCACCAAAGUUGGAAGAGCUUCUAGAGGACUAUUGGGAUCGUUUACCAGCUUAUCAGGGUGUAUCUCUUGACCAGUUGGAAAUAUUAAGAGUCAUCUUUGGUAUCUUCCCUACUUAUCGAGACAGCCCACUGCCUGCAGCAUUUGAUCGUAUCAUACAGGUUGGUGAUGCCAGUGGUAUCCAAUCACCUGUUUCUUUUGGAGGGUUUGGGAGUAUGACAAGACACCUAAGUCGGUUGUCAACAGGUAUAUAUGAAGCAGUAAUGGGAAAUUUUCUUGAUGCUUAUUGUUUGGGCUUGCUCAACCCUUAUAUGCCAAAUUUAAGUGCAUCGUGGUUGUUUCAAAGAGCAAUGUCAGCCAAGUCACAUACUGACAUAUCAUCAACUUUUAUUAAUGAGCUUCUUUAUGUAAACUUCCAAGCUAUGCAGGUAAGAGGCUGGGGGAUUCAGUUCUUCGGCCAUUUCUUCAGGAUGUGAUACAGUUUGGGCCACUUGUGAAGACCUUGGGUUCAGUGAUGCUAAACCAACCACAAAUUUUGCCUUCAAUAUUCAAACAGGUUGGAGUGGAUGUUAUUCUUGACUGGUCUGUGCAUUUUGUAAUGCUGGGUUACUACACAUUUCUUUCAUGCUAUGUUGAUCCUGCUGUUCGGCCAUGGGUGGAAUUUCUUCCACAAAAGAAGAAAUAUGAAUGGAAACGCCAUUUGGAAGCAUGGAAAUAUGGUGCUGGCUUAGAUUACAAAGAAAUGGAGUAAACAGCUUAAAGAAGGAGAAUUUUCCAGCUUAAAGAAGAGAAUUUUCAUAUGAUAUUCAUAGUUAAUCAAUUAACUUCAGAUCAUAUGUUUCUGUAUACAUUUUUUUUCUUAGCCCACGUUUGGGCUAUGAAUACUCCACACCAUGUCAUAGACGAUAACUUGGAUCUGUUUAGUGCAUUGACCAAUAUCUAAUAGCGGGUUGGUUACAUCUACAACCCAAAUGGAAACCAAGUGUUUCGUGGUUCAAAAA